Molecule: ribosomal RNA, 354 nt
Filed under: Canis lupaster (African golden wolf)
Lineage: Eukaryota; Metazoa; Chordata; Mammalia; Carnivora; Canidae
Description: partial 12S ribosomal RNA
Rfam family: Bacterial small subunit ribosomal RNA
Source: RNAcentral
AUUUUACAACAAAAUAAUUCGCCAGAGGACUACUAGCAACAGCUUAAAACUCAAAGGACUUGGCGGUGCUUUAUAUCCCUCUAGAGGAGCCUGUUCUAUAAUCGAUAAACCCCGAUAAACCUCACCACCUUUUGCUAAUUCAGUCUAUAUACCGCCAUCUUCAGCAAACCCUCAAAAGGUAGAACAGUAAGCACAAUCAUUUUACAUAAAAAAGUUAGGUCAAGGUGUAACUUAUGAGGUGGGAAGAAAUGGGWUACAUUUUCUACCCAAGAACAUUUCACGAAUGUUUUUAUGAAAUUAAAAACUGAAGGAGGAUUUAGCAGUAAAUUAAGAAUAGAGAGCUUAAUUGAAUAG